This 26-nucleotide non-coding RNA is filed under the name Homo sapiens (human). The record is from RNAcentral. Lineage: Eukaryota; Metazoa; Chordata; Mammalia; Primates; Hominidae.
UUCUAGCAUAGUGGGUGUCCUGUAGU